This is a long non-coding RNA of Cuculus canorus (common cuckoo), 943 nucleotides long. RefSeq lists it as uncharacterized. The transcript has 3 exons. Lineage: Eukaryota; Metazoa; Chordata; Aves; Cuculiformes; Cuculidae. The record is from RefSeq and is a predicted model, not a curated record.
GUGCCGACAAAUGGUCUGAGAAGGUGAGGUGGUUCUCUGAAUUGGUGUCAAGCAACUCAGCUGAGGGUUUGUGUUUUUUGCCGCUGCCAGUCGGGCAGCCUCUGGAACAGGAUGAGCCUCUGAGGUGCCCUAGGCAACGGCAGCUGUGGGACCUGAAGUUUGAGCGAGCAGACAGCAGAUGAUGAAGAGGAACCUGGUGACUGCAGGAUUGAUCCAGUUAACAGAUGUGGUUCGAGCUGCUUUGGCUAAGGACAGUUUCAGUCGUGGUCCUCUGAAAGCUAAGUUCAGGGACCGGGGCUGGGAAGAAGGGAGGAGGUUGAGGAUGGCAGGGAGGGGUUUUGAAGGUAACAUAGUGGAGAGGGCCCCGCAGGGUGAGUCCCGUUUGGGUCGGUAAACGCAGAGGGGCCUGCUUCUCAACCCAAAACUAGCACUGGCAGGGCAGUUCCAGCCAGUGUCUGAUGUCAUCUAGUUUCUGUAGUCUGUGUGCCACGUCUUAAGUUUUCUGCAGGUCUUGACGUCCUCUUUGCACUCAAGGCAUGCUGGACGUGCCUUGGGCACCAUUGAUGAGCAAAAGCGAACAAGGGGGGUUGGGAGUGUUUGUUAGAGCUUGGCGUUCUUUGCCUUGAAGACCUUGGAAGUUGGUGACGAAGGAGCCAGCUAGCAGAAGUUUCCUGCUAAGUGGGCAUUGCAAUGCAGAAAGCUGGCUGCAUUUGGUUCAGGCGUUUGAAAGCAGCCAGAGGAGACCGAGUCCGUGCAAAGUUCAAAAAGAAAAAUAUUCAUCCCGAGCAAGACUUCCUACUUCAUCUCUAAGACCCCGGCCCACGACCUUCAGGAGGCACUACGCAGGCGCGAGACUGGAGCGAACUUUCCAGAACUAAUUAUAAUACGAAGCGGGUAAAGGGUAUGAAUACGUAGUAGGCGCUUAUACCCAUGCAUGUCUUUA